UACGUGCCAUUCAAAGAAUUUUACAAACGAUGGCGAGGACCGAGGAACUUCACGUCAUUUCAACAGUCCAAGUACACCACCUUCUGAAAGAAAUGGCACUUCAUCAACUUGUCAAGAGGUUGUUUCUGACAGCACAUCCGGUGUGAUCAUGGCUUCCGGGAAGAGGAUUGGCUGAAGUCCUCACUCCACCAUUCGAUGUGUCCUGCCGCCCCACGCCGAUCACUUUCUGAAGGCGCAUCCUUUCAGCAAUCUGAGGACCCAAGAUUCUCUCUUUCAGGUCACACAGUGGAUGUGAGCUCCAGGUGGGCAGGGACCACGUCGGGUCAUACUCACUG
This is a long non-coding RNA of Diceros bicornis minor, 335 nucleotides long. RefSeq lists it as uncharacterized. The record is from RefSeq and is a predicted model, not a curated record. The transcript has 3 exons. Lineage: Eukaryota; Metazoa; Chordata; Mammalia; Perissodactyla; Rhinocerotidae.